GAAUUUUGGGCAAUGGGGGAAACCCUGACCCAGCAACGCCGCGUGAAGGAUGAAGUAUUUCGGUAUGUAAACUUCGAAAGAAUAGGAAGAAUUAAUGACGGUACUAUUUAUAAGGUCCGGCUAACUACGUGCCAGCAGCCGCGGUAAUACGUAGGGACCAAGCGUUGUUCGGAUUUACUGGGCGUAAAGGGCGCGUAGGCGGCAUUGUUAGUCACUUGUGAAAUCUCCGGGCUUAACCCGGAACGGCCAAGUGAUACUGCAGUGCUAGAGUGCGGAAGGGGCAAUCGGAAUUCUUGGUGUAGCGGUGAAAUGCGUAGAUAUCAAGAGGAACACCUGAGGUGAAGACGGGUUGCUGGGCCGACACUGACGCUGAGGUGCGAAAGCGUGGGGAGCAAACAGG
Molecule: ribosomal RNA, 400 nt
Filed under: uncultured bacterium
Lineage: Bacteria
Description: bacterial SSU rRNA
Rfam family: Bacterial small subunit ribosomal RNA
Source: RNAcentral